UAGGGAAUCUUCCACAAUGGACGAAAGUCUGAUGGAGCAACGCCGCGUGAGUGAAGAAGGGUUUCGGCUCGUAAAACUCUGUUGUUAAAGAAGAACACGUAUGAGAGUAACUGUUCAUACGUUGACGGUAUUUAACCAGAAAGUCACGGCUAACUACGUGGCAG
RNAcentral lists this ribosomal RNA (164 nucleotides) under uncultured bacterium. Its description in RNAcentral is "partial 16S ribosomal RNA". It matches the Rfam family "Bacterial small subunit ribosomal RNA", at positions 355 to 511 of the family's 1533-position model. The record is from RNAcentral.